GGGGUGCAGCAGGCGCGAAACCUCUACAAUGCACGCAAGUGUGAUAGGGGAACCCUAAGUGCUUAUGCUAUGCAUAGGCUUUUGCCAAAAGUAAAUAUUUUGGCGAAUAAGUGGUGGGCAAGACGGGUGCCAGCCGCCGCGGUAACACCUGCGCCACAAGUGGUGACCACCUUUAUUGGGUCUAAAGCGUCCGUAGCCGGUUUGAUAAAUCUUUUGUGAAAUUGUUAAGCUCAACUUAACAGCGUGCAGAAGACACUAUCUGACUAGGGACCGGGAGAAGCUAGGAGUAUGUUGAGGGGAGCGGUAAAAUGCUAUAAUCCUCGAUAGACUACCUGUGGCGAAGGCGCCUAGCUAGAACGGUUUCGACGGUGAGGGACGAAAGCUAGGGGAGCGAACCGGAUUAGAUA
Molecule: ribosomal RNA, 407 nt
Filed under: uncultured euryarchaeote
Lineage: Archaea; Methanobacteriati; Methanobacteriota
Description: bacterial SSU rRNA
Rfam family: Archaeal small subunit ribosomal RNA
Source: RNAcentral